UACGUAGGGGGCAAGCGUUAUCCGGAUUUAUUGGGCGUAAAGGGAACGCAGGCGGUCUUUUAAGUCUGAUGUGAAAGCCUUCGGCUUAACCGGAGUAGUGCAUUGGAAACUGGGAGACUCGAGUGCAGAAGAGGAGAGUGGAACUCCAUGUGUAGCGGUGAAAUGCGUAGAUAUAUGGAAGAACACCAGUGGCGAAAGCGGCUCUCUGGUCUGUAACUGACGCUGAGGUUCGAAAGCGUGGGUAGCAAACAGG
Molecule: ribosomal RNA, 253 nt
Filed under: uncultured bacterium
Lineage: Bacteria
Description: partial 16S ribosomal RNA
Rfam family: Bacterial small subunit ribosomal RNA
Source: RNAcentral